CUAAUCUUGAAAACCAAACCCACCUCUUUAUUUCUUUUCUCUCACACUUCCCUCUUCUCCCUUUCGCUCUAGUCGUAGCCUAAGCCCAAAACUCUUCACGCCGACCACCUUAUGCUGGGGCCUAUACACCACUCCGACCCCCACUAGACAUUGAUCGAGGAAGUUGAGAUGACUCCCAAAUGAAUCCAAAAGUCAUUGUUUCCCCCUUCCUCUAUAUUUCCUCUUUGACCAAGAGUUUAGAUAACCUAACUGCCACAAAUUAGUACCUUUUCUCUCUCCGGCCAUCCUUAACGGUGGUCGGGUUAACCCAAAACCUAAACAAGACCCUAAGCGGCCUCCCCUCUUCUCUACUCUCUAAAUUAAAUCAUAAAAAAACUAAACCACACCCUAGACAACCUUAAUUUAACCCUGAUUGUUCGAUUUCUCAACCCCGCCGAUUUCACGUCUGACGACGACCUUUCAAAUUUAGUGAGUAGCUGAACUGUCCAGGGAGCUACCAAAGAAAGUUACAAUAGUGGCACGACGAUUUUGGAUGACUUUAUUUGACAUAAUAUUACGUAUGCAUCUUCGUUGUAUGAUUUGAAUAUCGGAACAAGUUUGUAUUUAAUUAUGUAUGUGUUUUAUUUUGGAGUUUAGACAAUUAUUUAGAAUUGGGAUUGAAUUUGUGAUUGUAGCUUGAAUUGUAAAUCAUGUAGACUAAUUUUCCA
Long non-coding RNA from Hibiscus syriacus, 707 nucleotides. RefSeq lists it as uncharacterized. The transcript has 2 exons. The record is from RefSeq and is a predicted model, not a curated record. NCBI's taxonomy places the organism in Eukaryota, Viridiplantae, Streptophyta, Magnoliopsida, Malvales, Malvaceae.